RNAcentral lists this ribosomal RNA (253 nucleotides) under uncultured archaeon. RNAcentral describes it as "partial 16S ribosomal RNA". It matches the Rfam family "Archaeal small subunit ribosomal RNA", at positions 474 to 726 of the family's 1478-position model. The record is from RNAcentral.
UACAGAGGUCUCAAGCGUUGUUCGGAAUCAUUGGGCCUAAAGCAUUCGUAGCCGGUUUAAAAAAUCCUUUGUGAAAUCGUUGAACUCAAUACAACGGCAUGCAGGGGACACUUUUAGACUAGAGACUGGGAGGAGUUGGGGGUAUUUCUAGGGGAGCGGUUAAAUGUGAUAAUCCUAGAAAGACCACCUGUGGCGAAGGCGCCCAACUAGAACAGUUCUGACGGUGAGGGAUGAAAGCUAGGGGAGCGAUCCG